RNAcentral lists this ribosomal RNA (465 nucleotides) under uncultured bacterium. Its description in RNAcentral is "partial 16S ribosomal RNA". It matches the Rfam family "Bacterial small subunit ribosomal RNA", at positions 28 to 507 of the family's 1533-position model. The record is from RNAcentral.
GACGAACGCUGGCGGCGUGCUUAACACAUGCAAGUCGAACGGAAAGGCCCUGCUUGCAGGGUACUCGAGUGGCGAACGGGUGAGUAACACGUGGGUGAUCUGCCCUGCACUUCGGGAUAAGCCUGGGAAACUGGGUCUAAUACCGGAUAGGAGCCAUUUUUAGUGUGAUGGUUGGAAAGUUUUUUCGGUGUAGGAUGAGCUCGCGGCCUAUCAGCUUGUUGGUGGGGUAAUGGCCUACCAAGGCGGCGACGGGUAGCCGGCCUGAGAGGGUGAACGGCCACAUUGGGACUGAGAUACGGCCCAGACUCCUACGGGAGGCAGCAGUGGGGAAUAUUGCACAAUGGGCGCAAGCCUGAUGCAGCGACGCCGCGUGGGGGAUGACGGCCUUCGGGUUGUAAACUCCUUUCGCUAGGGACGAAGCUUUUUGUGACGGUACCUAGAUAAGAAGCACCGGCUAACUACGUG